ACCGGGACGUAACUUCCGGGAAGGGCUUACUUGCAAGGCAGACACGGAAGUGCUGGGAGGCGCCGGGAGCCGGUUCGGUUGCGGGUGUCUCUGGCCCUGCGGUCAGCCCUGGGAACGUCCCGGAGAGCUAGAUUCCUAGAGGCCCGAUUCCGCUAGCCCGGAACAGACAAAGCCAGCGCUCCCGCCCGCUCCCCGACUUAGGAUCCGAUGCCGGCAGCGUCCUGGGGCCCCCGUAGCGGGGCUGGACCAUGAGCCUGCUGGACGGCCUCGCCUCCUCGCCGCGGGCUCCGCUGCAGUCCAGCAAGGCCAGGAUGAAAAAGCUCCCGAAGAAGAGCCAGAAUGAGAAGUACCGGCUGAAGUACCUGCGGCUGCGCAAAGCGGCCAAGGCCACGGUGUUUGAAAAUGCUGCUAUUUGUGAUGAAAUUGCUCGUCUUGAGGAAAAAUUUCUUAAAGCAAAAGAAGAAAGAAGGUACUUGCUAAAGAAGCUCCUCCAGCUUCAGGCUCUAACUGAAGGGGAAGUACAGGCUGCAGCUCCUUCCCACAGUUCCAGUUUGCCCCUGACUUAUGGUGUGGCCAGCUCUGUGGGAACUAUACAGGGAGCUGGGCCUAUUUCAGGGCCCAGCACUGGGGCUGAGGAACCAUUUGGGAAGAAAACUAAGAAGGAGAAAAAAGAAAAAGGCAAAGAGAACAACAAACUGGAAGCCCCAAAGUGGUUCUAAAGGCUACCACAGGAAACUGGACUUCUAAAUACUUCAGUGACCUCAAUCCCAGGUUGGGGGAAUGUUUUUUAUAGAUCAUCACCGACCGACCUGGCUUUCAUGAUGAGAGUGCCAUCUACCCCGUGGGCUAUUGCAGUACUCGAAUAUAUGCCAGCAUGAAGUGCCCAGACCAGAAGUGUCUAUAUACCUGUCAGAUCAAGGAUGGUGGUGUGCAGCCUCAGUUUGAAAUUGUUCCUGAAGAUGACCCCCAGAAUGCCAUUGUCAGCUCUUCCGCAGAUGCUUGUCAUGCAGAACUGCUCAGGACUAUAAGCGCUACUAUGGGGAAACUAAUGCCUAACCUGCUUCCAGCUGGAGCUGACUUUUUUGGAUUUUCUCAUCCAGCCAUCCACAACCUGAUCCAGAGCUGUCCAGGAGCUCGAAAAUGCAUCAAUUACCAGUGGGUGAAAUUUGAUGUGUGCAAACCUGGAGAUGGGCAGCUACCUGAGGGGCUGCCGGAGAAUGAUGCAGCUAUGAGCUUUGAAGCCUUUCAGAGACAGAUCUUUGAUGAAGAUCAGAAUGAUCCCCUUCUGCCAGGAUCCUUGGACCUCCCAGAGCUUCACCCUGCAGCCUUUGUGUCUUCUUACCAGCCCAUGUACCUGACACAUGAACCCUUGGUAGAUACUCACCUGCAGCACUUGAAGUCUCCAUCACAGGGUAGCCCAAUUCAGUCUUCAGAUUGAACAAGAAGGGAUCAGAUGCCACAUCAUUUUUGUCGUGAUUAAUUUAACUUAAACUAAAAUUUUGGGUAUAUGGAAGAAGGCAGCAAUUGAGAAGUAAAGAAGAUAUUAACGUAUUUCAUCAUGGAGGGUCCUGUGGUGAUGGUUUUCCCUGGGAAAACCUUCAGCUGCUUUAUUUUUAGUAAUAAAUUUCUCUUUGU
This 1635-nucleotide small RNA is filed under the name Pan troglodytes (chimpanzee). RNAcentral describes it as "retained intron". The record is from RNAcentral. Lineage: Eukaryota; Metazoa; Chordata; Mammalia; Primates; Hominidae.